GGGGAGUCUGACUUUGAGAAAGUCAUGGUGUCUGGGGACUGGCCUGCACUUACAGCUACAGGUCUCCUAUCAAGAGGUUCCUAUGAGACCCCAGCACAUUGUCAUAUUGCUCUCAUUUCUCUCUUCUUUUUUGUCCCUGGGUCCUGAGAUCAAUCUGAACGACUGGUGAAUGGAUAUCCUUACCUGUGUUUUAACUAAUUGCUCAUUAUUGAGUGAAAUGUAGUAUCUUCCUUCCCAUCAGCCCUCACCUCCUAAAUUCUCUUGAUUACAUUCCAAAGCCAUGUUCAGCUAGUUCCAACCUCAUCUCCACGCCUGCGUGACCCUGGGUGGGAGAUUUAACUUCUGGAUCUCAGCCCUUGCUUCUGCUAUCUGUUUUACAGGGUCACUAUUAAAAAGAACUAAAAUCACCUCGGCAUUUGGCACUGAGUCCACAGAAAGUAGAGUCGGUAAGAAGGUGGCAACCUGGAAAUGUGGAUUGCAUUCAUCCUGGGCUUCUCCUACUGGAUGGCAAGGUCUGAACAAUUCGGAAACUCAGUCCUGGGAAACCGGCCAGAGAAGAAACGGAUGGACCUGCUCUCUGGAGGCUUCCGGUCUCCAGAGGCUUCCGGUCGCUGGAGGCUUCCGGUCUCCUGAGGUUUCCGGUCGCCGGAGGCUUCCGGUCUCACGCUAUAGGAAUGCGACAGUCAACCACAGCGAACGUCGCUGCGGUCUGAAAUUAUCAGUAAAUGGUUUCUGAGCAAGGCAGGAACUUAACUGAGCCUUUCCAAAUACUGUUGCUUCCACCUGGAACUCACCCUUCAUCUCAUCUUCUAGAAAAACACCUACGUUUCCUUAAAGAAUCUCCACGUCCAAAGUCAGGGCAUCUUCCAGCUCGCCUCUCAGCCCAGCUCUGCCUUUCCUCCUCCCUCAGUCCUUCAGUUGCUGCCAGUUCUGCAAAUUAAUUACACCUGGAGCGCUUUGACAGAGUUGGCUGGACCAUAGGACCUCGGGGCUUGAGGCAAGACAAGAUUGUCCCAAGUGGAAAUACAGACCUCACGCUCCCUCAAGAUAGCUUAGGGUGUGGAUAAGUAUACACCUGCUAUGUAUAACAGGUG
This 1094-nucleotide long non-coding RNA is filed under the name Sus scrofa (pig). Its description in RNAcentral is "lncRNA (ENSSSCG00050037405.1)". The record is from RNAcentral. Lineage: Eukaryota; Metazoa; Chordata; Mammalia; Artiodactyla; Suidae.